GGUCGUGUGGUCUAGUUGGUCAUGACAUCUGCUUCACACGCAGGAGAUCCUCGGUUCAAGCCUGGGCGAGAUCA
Molecule: transfer RNA, 74 nt
Filed under: Metschnikowia bicuspidata
Lineage: Eukaryota; Fungi; Ascomycota; Pichiomycetes; Serinales; Metschnikowiaceae
Description: tRNA-Val
Source: RNAcentral